This 425-nucleotide ribosomal RNA is filed under the name uncultured bacterium. RNAcentral describes it as "bacterial SSU rRNA". It matches the Rfam family "Bacterial small subunit ribosomal RNA", at positions 354 to 796 of the family's 1533-position model. The record is from RNAcentral.
GUGGGGAAUAUUGGACAAUGGGCGCAAGCCUGAUCCAGCCAUGCCGCGUGAGUGAUGAAGGCCCUAGGGUUGUAAAGCUCUUUCAGUGGGGACGAUAAUGACGGUACCCACAGAAGAAGCCCCGGCUAACUUCGUGCCAGCAGCCGCGGUAAUACGAAGGGGGCUAGCGUUGUUCGGAUUUACUGGGCGUAAAGCGCACGUAGGCGGAUCGUUAAGUCGAGGGUGAAAUCCUGGAGCUCAACUCCAGAACUGCCUUCGAUACUGGCGAUCUUGAGUCCGGAAGAGGUGAGUGGAACUCCUAGUGUAGAGGUGGAAUUCGUAGAUAUUAGGAAGAACACCAGUGGCGAAGGCGGCUCACUGGUCCGGUACUGACGCUGAGGUGCGAAAGCGUGGGGAGCAAACAGGAUUAGAAACCCGGGUAGUCC